This 73-nucleotide transfer RNA is filed under the name Ipomoea nil (Japanese morning glory). It matches the Rfam family "tRNA". From Rfam's summary of the family: Transfer RNA (tRNA) molecules are approximately 80 nucleotides in length. Their secondary structure includes four short double-helical elements and three loops (D, anti-codon, and T loops). The record is from Rfam by way of RNAcentral. Lineage: Eukaryota; Viridiplantae; Streptophyta; Magnoliopsida; Solanales; Convolvulaceae.
UCCGUUGUAGUCUAGUUGGUUAGGAUACUCGGCUCUCACCUGAGAGACCAGGGUUCGUUCCCCGGCAACGGUG